UUUAUGAAAAUCUAUCAAUAAAACAUUAUUGAUUCAUUCAUUAAUACACAAUGGUACAGUCCGUCAGGUGGUUCGCUCCAUUGACAGUCAGUGAGUGUGUCUGUGUCCAACUCUUCCUCACAGGUUAGUUAAUGACAGACAGUCAGUGAGUGUGUCUGUGUCCAACUCUUCCUCACAGGUUAGUUAAUGACAGACAGUCAGUGAGUGUGUCUGUGUCCAACUCUUCCUCACAGGUUAGUUAAUGACAGACAGUCAGUGAGUGUGUCUGUGUCCAACUCUUCCUCACAGGUUAGUUAAUGACAGACAGUCAGUGAGUGUGUCUGUGUCCAACUCUUCCUCACAGGUUAGUUAAUGACAGACAGUCAGUGAGUGUGUCUGUGUCCAACUCUUCCUCACAGGUUAGUUAAUGAUGUUACUGAGUCAAUGUGAGCAGAUUGUGUCUGUAGACUGAAGAGAAUCAGAGUCUCACUGAUGGUGGAAAUAAAGGUUUUACUUCCUUAAAACA
This is a long non-coding RNA of Dicentrarchus labrax (European seabass), 505 nucleotides long. RefSeq lists it as uncharacterized. Lineage: Eukaryota; Metazoa; Chordata; Actinopteri; Moronidae. The transcript is spliced from 3 exons. The record is from RefSeq and is a predicted model, not a curated record.